CGCCUACGGGAGGCUGCAGUGGGGAAUAUUGCACAAUGGGCGAAAGCCUGAUGCAGCAACGCCGCGUGAGGGAUGACGGCCUUCGGGUUGUAAACCUCUUUUAGCAGGGAAGAAGCGAAAGUGACGGUACCUGCAGAAAAAGCGCCGGCUAACUACGUGCCAGCAGCCGCGGUAAUACGUAGGGCGCAAGCGUUAUCCGGAAUUAUUGGGCGUAAAGAGCUCGUAGGCGGUUUGUCGCGUCUGCUGUGAAAUCCCGAGGCUCAACUUCGGGUCUGCAGUGGGUACGGGCAGACUAGAGUGCGGUAGGGGAGAUUGGAAUUCCUGGUGUAGCGGUGGAAUGCGCAGAUAUCAGGAGGAACACCGAUGGCGAAGGCAGAUCUCUGGGCCGUAACUGACGCUGAGGGACGAAAGCGUGGGUAGCAAACAGGAUUAGAUACCCUUGUAGUCGA
RNAcentral lists this ribosomal RNA (449 nucleotides) under uncultured Mycetocola sp. RNAcentral describes it as "bacterial SSU rRNA". It matches the Rfam family "Bacterial small subunit ribosomal RNA", at positions 336 to 797 of the family's 1533-position model. Lineage: Bacteria; Bacillati; Actinomycetota; Actinomycetes; Micrococcales; Microbacteriaceae. The record is from RNAcentral.